AUAAGGUGCCGUUUAAAAGAAUCAAGGUGACCAUGACAGCAAAACCCGAGCGUUAGCAAUCUCUCUGCUCAUCUCUGCUUACGCGCAAUUCGAAGUCACGAUAAAUCUGAUGAGCAUUAACCGAAAACGGAUACAGGCAAAAAUAAUUAAAAGGACGACUAACCAAUGAACGGUCCCAAAAUGUAUCCAAUCACCGUCGAAUACGUGAAAAAGAUGAAGGAUCAAGUGAAAGAAAUCCUUUCUGUGUGGAAGUAUAGCAGUGAGCUUGAAGAAACUGGUGAACGACGAUACAAAAGUGAUCAAGCAGUAGAGCCAUGUCUAUAAAUAAAUUCCAUAAUGUUUAUAAAUAAAAUUGAUACUGUCCAUAAAUAAAUUCAUAAAUGAUUGUCAAUAAAUACAAUGAAUCACUUGCGUACAAUGAUACGAUACAUGCAAUAGAUAAGUGGAUGGAUUUUAAUUGGAUCUGAAAAAUCUCGAUGAAUACUCACAGUGAGGUCUGUAAAGUGAAACAAAAUUUCGUACAUUGCACCGAUUACGAUAAGACAUAUCUGAACAUAGGAGAUAAACAACAAGAAAUAGUAGAACGUUUCCUGAUCGCGUCCGCUCGGCAUCCAGAAGCCGAAGUGCCUCAGAAAUGGGAUCAUCAAGUUUAUGGAGAAAUCGUUGGAUUUUUGCAUCGUGUUUAAUUAUACCGAAAAAAUUCGCUGACAAUCUAAGCGCAAAGUGUCCAACUGAUUUGAUUCUUUUUUCGCUGGCGACUGUCCCCCACCCUUCGUCGCAUCGCUAGCAGUAAUAAAACCGAGCAUGCUAACUGCCGAGUACAAAUAUAAGAAAGUGGGGAUGGCAACAUAUGUGCCAUUUUCCAAGGUUCGAUUACGAUGAACAAGCGCUGUGCGCUCUGAUGUGCAAUUACUGGUCUCACUCCGAGAACUGAAAACUUGUAGCUCAUUCGUAAUUCUGUAAGCUAUUGUCACAUUCUUCGCAAUCCUUGACCUUAAUUGGCAUCUGUUAACCCCUUAACGCACAGUUCUUUUGAAAAAAAAAUGGCCAAAAAAUAUCAAUUUUUUCCUGAUUCAACUUCUCUUUCGGCGGAGAAUUUUGAUAUGCUGCGCUUUUGUUCCAUGGAAAAAAGGCUAUAUUUUAUUCUUGAAUAAAUAAGUGUUAUAACUUA
Megalopta genalis is the source of this 1171-nucleotide non-coding RNA. The record is from RefSeq and is a predicted model, not a curated record. NCBI's taxonomy places the organism in Eukaryota, Metazoa, Arthropoda, Insecta, Hymenoptera, Halictidae.